This 1137-nucleotide long non-coding RNA is filed under the name Populus trichocarpa (black cottonwood). RNAcentral describes it as "long non-coding RNA (PTRI_LNC003578)". Lineage: Eukaryota; Viridiplantae; Streptophyta; Magnoliopsida; Malpighiales; Salicaceae. The record is from RNAcentral.
CUGGAUUUACAAAUAAGCAAAUGCAGAAGAUUGAAGGGAAAAGUUGACAGUAAAGAAGGAGGAAAAAGAAGAAGCUGAAGAAAGUUGUUAUGUAAUGAUUAGUUAGUUGCAUUUCAGUUAUUUGUAACUAACUAAGAAAAGAAAAAAUAAUUAAAUGCUUUUCUGUAGGCCUAGCUGUUAAAGGCUGUAAAAAGAUCACACAAUACGUGUGUUCUCCCCAAAUCAGUUUAUAAGGGGCAUUUUGUCAAGCAUGUUGUGUGUGGAAAAUAUAUACAAGAAUUACCUUUUUCUGCAACUCUCUCCAUUCUUCAACCUUCUGUGCAAACCUUUUUCUCCUACUACCCAAAUCAACAAUCAACCUACAAAUCAUCAAAUAAACACAAUCAAACACAAGAUUAAAAACUUCAACAUGGUAUCAGAGCAGUAACUUGAUCAACAAGGGACUGAAAACAUAAAAUUCCAGAAAAGAUGGUGUCCAGUGGAGAUUUACGAACACCUCAGUUCAACGGUGUGAACUAUGACUUUUGGGCAGUGAAGAUGGAGACAAUCCUCAUAGCAUUUGAUCUAUGGGAUGUAGUUGAGUUUGGCAUGAAAUCAGGUUCAAGUGUGAAAGAAGAAGAAUCUGAGAAAGAAGAUAAGAAGAAUGAUGAAACCGAGAGCAAAGAUGGUGAAACUAAGAGCAGCAUAGCUGAAGAAGCUGUUUUCAGAGAAAACAAAAUAAGAAAUGCCAAGGCAUUGAGCCUCAUCCAAGGAGCCGUGACUGAUGAACUUUUUCCUAGAAUAAGGAAUGAGAAUACUGCACAAGGAGCAUGGAAUGUGCUGAAAAGAGAGUAUAGAGGUGAUAAGAAAGUGAGGUCUGUGAAAUUGCAAGCUGUGAGGGCAGAGUUUGAAUACAUGAGAAUGUCAGAAGGAGAAGGCUUAGAACACUAUCUUUCUAAGUUUUUUGAAGCUAUAAACAGUCUGAAAUCUCUAGGAGAAGAUGUACCUGAGAUUAGGAUUGUGCAGAAGCUCCUAAUGAGUUUAAAUAGGAGAUACAAGUCCAUUGUCUCUAUCAUUGAAGAGACAAGGGACCUUGAUGUGCUGAAGGUGGAAGAAGUUAUAGCCUCUGUCAAAGUAUUUGACAAGAGGGAAGACCUG